Non-coding RNA from Aegilops tauschii subsp. strangulata, 648 nucleotides. The record is from RefSeq and is a predicted model, not a curated record. NCBI's taxonomy places the organism in Eukaryota, Viridiplantae, Streptophyta, Magnoliopsida, Poales, Poaceae.
AAGUGGAGUCUGGAGGGAGAACAACACAAAGUAGGAAAUUGAUUCCCUCGCCCUUGCUUGCUUCAACGACCCCGCCCGUCUUGGUGGGGUCGAUUCCCCCAUCGCCCGACUCAUCUCCGACGAGUAUGGCGUUAGUGGGUACGCCCCGCCGUUCGUAUGCUUGGCGGGUCCCAGAACACCCGUGACGUGUAUGAGCUUGACUAGGGCGAGGGGCUCGUGCUCGUGCUCGAGCUCGACAAGACGCACUUCGAUCUCGUCACCAACUACGAGCUGGACUGUGAGACUCCAGAGCAGGCGGGGGCGACGAAGACGAAAGUGGGGGCAGUUCGAGCUUGUCGCUGCCGGAGACCCUGGAGAGGUGCGCGAAGAGACCUGGUAAACUGCACUAAUAACAAAUCAGAUGUCAUCUCUCAUGUUGCUAAUUCAACCCUGGACGAUGUUGCGCGGCCCGCGGCCAUGGACGAUGUGCUGUUGGACAACGACGCGAGGCCGAGGCAGCCAAUGUGAAUGACCACUGGAAAUCAUUUACCUUUCAAUCUUGGAAGGCCCUAAGCUGAAGGAGAGCAUCAGUUGUCAUGAGAGAUAAGCAAUAUCUAUUAGACACGCAUACUAUCAGGCUAACGCAAACCACUCGGGAAAGUAUACUUA